UAAGGAAUAUUGGUCAAUGGGCGGAAGCCUGAACCAGCCAUGCCGCGUGCAGGAUGACUGCCCUAUGGGUUGUAAACUGCUUUUGUCCAGGAAUAAACCUAGAUACGUGUAUCUAGCUGAAUGUACUGGAAGAAUAAGGAUCGGCUAACUCCGUGCCAGCAGCCGCGGUAAUACGGAGGAUCCGAGCGUUAUCCGGAUUUAUUGGGUUUAAAGGGUGCGUAGGCGGCCUAUUAAGUCAGGGGUGAAAUACGGUGGCUCAACCAUCGCAGUGCCUUUGAUACUGAUGGGCUUGAAUCCAUUUGAAGUGGGCGGAAUAAGACAAGUAGCAGUGAAAUGCAUAGAUAUGUCUUAGAACUCCGAUUGCGAAGGCAGCUCACUAAGCUGGUAUUGACGCUGAUGCACGAAAGCGUGGGGAUCGAACAGGAUUAGAUACCCUGGUAGUCCACGCCCUAAACGAUGAUAACUCGAUGUUGGCGAUAGACAGCCAGCGUCCAAGCGAAAGCGUUAAGUUAUCCACCUGGGGAGUACGCCCGCAAGGUGAAACUUAAAUGAAUUGACGGGGUCAUAGCUGUUUCCU
Molecule: ribosomal RNA, 577 nt
Filed under: uncultured bacterium
Lineage: Bacteria
Description: partial 16S ribosomal RNA
Rfam family: Bacterial small subunit ribosomal RNA
Source: RNAcentral